UUUUAGAAAUCAAUGAUUAUGACAUGAGAUAAUAACUGAACACAGGUCAAAAUGUAUGUUUUUGACCACCAACUGAAAGUUGCAAUAAUGAACUAUGACCUCAAGCUGCUCUCUCACUCUGAUGUGUGAGGGUGAUCACUAUAAUAAUAGGAAGUACAUCCACAGCCUAAUAUUACAUGUUCCUGUGUGUAUGCCCUAGCAUGGAAAUAUGGUCAGAGAGAGGGUGACGGACAAAGAUUUGGCGUUAGAGCAAAAAAGAUGAUACUAGAGCUCUCCAAAACCGGAGUAGAGUGUAGGGCAGGGCUAGGCAACGCUUGAAGGAUGUGGGAGGAGAUUAAGGUUGAUUGGCGUGAGCUGGACCUUGAUGAGGGGACGGCUGUUAACCUAAUCACUCUAUUUAACUCGGCUUAGCGCCUGUCGAUUCUAGCCUGUAAUUGAUUUAAUUCACAGUGGAAACCGUUCCUAACACAAUUUUAAUUCCUCUUGUUCUACAACUUUGCAAUUACCUGGUUUGCCAUCGCACAGUAACAUGUCUUAAGGAUUGAUCUACCUCCGACACACAAGCCUCCUCCUCCCUACACAGAGAGACCGUCAGUCAUCCCUCUGGUUGUCCACACACCACAGGUGGCCUCCCUUUCACAGGCUCACAGGGCUGUGCGGCAGUUUGAGAUGGCAGAGAGAACACCUGCCAGGCUCACACCCCGGGAACCCCGAAGCCCCUCCCACCAGCCUCUGUCCUAUCAGGAGUGGGUGUGUCACCAGAACGGGGCGGAUCGUAUCUACAUCAACCACCGGGAACACUAUGUGUGACGGACACGUCCUAAACCUUCUAUGGACCUGUCAAUCAAUCACUCACCCUGCCCCACCCAUCACCAUGCAGGCUCACAGAUGCCAGCCUUUUCAAUGUGAAGAACCCAGGCAACGAAAUAGUUUAUGACUUGACCAAGCCUUCAUAGAUGAGUCUACUCCACAUUUAACAUAAUUUGAGAGCAGCAGUUAUCACAUGUAAGAAGCAAGACUAUUGAGGCCGAAGCAUAAACUGCUGAGUUUCUCUGAGGAACGACAACCCAAACACCCCUCCACUCCCCUUCUCCGAACCACCGCACACACACCUGUUCUGUUCCCAACCACAUCAAUGAACAGAAGAUAACAGCAUAGGGAAGAGCAGGAAGACAGAUUUGGUACAGUACCACAAAGUAACUAUUUAAAAUGGAACACUAAGCUCUGCUGUGUGCUGUAUAGGAGUGGAAUCAUAUGAAAACACCAUACUAAGCUCUAUGUAUAGCAGUUGAAUGUGUUACUAUGUCACUGUGGCUGUGUGAUAAUCCUGUGUACAGUUAUGCUCUUUGAAUUAGUUAGAACUAAUACUUUUUUUUAGGAUUGUGGUAAACACCAGGCAUAUCUUUGUACGGUUCUGGUAAACAUACAGCCAAUUAGGUAGGAUUCUAACUUCAUGGUAUAAGAACAGAAAUAGUAACAUUGUCUGAAGGACCGUGCACCAGGACAUCAGGAUCUGAACAGAGAUGGUAACAUUGUCUGAAGGACCGUGCACCAGAACAUCAGGAUCUGAACAGAGAUGGUAACAUUGUCUGAAGGACCAUGCACCAGGACAUCAGGAUCAAGCAUACCAGAUAGCAACAGUAUACCAGAUAGUAACAUAUAAUGACAUUCGCUGUACUCUAUCAUGUCAUUUAAAUGUUGUGAAAAGAUGAAUGUGGUUUAAUGCUUCGAGAAGUUAACUGAAUCAUAGAAAAAGGAAAUUUUUGCACUUGGAAUUGAAACAUAAAUCAUUCAUACAUCAGUGGAAAAAUCCGAUUUGUGUUAUUUCGCUGCAAUUUCGUAGAGGUCUUUCUAGCGCCAUUUAUAUAUUUGAAGGGGAUCUUCUCAACUGUUGAUGAUUUUGUGUUCUCAUUCUUCCAUUGUGAGUAGAUAAUAUAUAUGCAGUGUUUGUUUUUUACACAUUGGUCAGGGGUAGAGUUUUUUUAAACCAUCAUAUUUAUACAUUAUAGGUAGUCUGUGUACAUGACAACGUUUUUAUAUGGUCAAAUGUUCGGAAGAGCAGUCGCAGCCUUCGAGGCAUCUGCUAAGGACGGUAGCCACACAUAGCAGUGUGUUAAUGAGUUAGGCCUCUGUGCCUCUCCUCUCCUGUCCUGGUGGGGACCAGGGCUCUAGCUGAGCCAACCCACAAUAAGGCCAUUGUUUGUUUCCCU
This is a long non-coding RNA of Oncorhynchus kisutch (coho salmon), 2210 nucleotides long. The record is from Ensembl. Lineage: Eukaryota; Metazoa; Chordata; Actinopteri; Salmoniformes; Salmonidae.